AGUGAACGCUGGCGGCAGGCCUAACACAUGCAAGUCGAGCGGCAGCGGGUCCCCGCGAGGGGAUGCCGGCGAGCGGCGGACGGGUGAGGAACACAUCGGAAUCUGCCUGGUUGUGGGGGAUAACGUAGGGAAACUUACGCUAAUACCGCAUGCGACCCUGAGUCGACGGACGUGGGGGUGAAAGUGGAGGGACCUUCGGGCCUCACGCGACCAGAUGAGCCGAUGUCGGAUUAGCUAGUUGGCGGGGUAACGGCCCGCCAAGGCGACGAUCCGUAGCUGGUCUGAGAGGAUGAUCAGCCACACU
This 304-nucleotide ribosomal RNA is filed under the name uncultured bacterium. RNAcentral describes it as "bacterial SSU rRNA". It matches the Rfam family "Bacterial small subunit ribosomal RNA", at positions 30 to 314 of the family's 1533-position model. The record is from RNAcentral.